GACGAACGCUGGCGGCGUGCUUAACACAUGCAAGUCGAACGGUAAGGCCCUUCGGGGUACACGAGUGGCGAACGGGUGAGUAACACGUGGGUGAUCUGCCAUGCACUUCGGGAUAAGCCUGGGAAACUGGGUCUAAUACCGGAUAGGACCCUGGGAUGCAUGUCCUGGGGUGGAAAGCUUUUGCGGUGUGGGAUGGGGCCGCGGCCUAUCAGCUUGUUGGGGGGGUGAUGGCCAACCAAGGCGACGACGGGGAGCCGGCCUGGGGGGGUGACCGGCACCACGGGGACUGGGAAACGGCCCAGACUCCUACGGGGGGCAGCGGUGGGGAAUAUUGCACAAUGGGCGAAAGCCUGAUGCAGCGCCGCCGCGUGGGGGAUGACGGCCUUCGGGUUGUAAACCUCUUUCAGCACCGACGAAGCGCAAGUGACGGUAGGUGCAGAAGAAGGACCGGCCAACUACGUGCCAGCAGCCGCGGUAA
This 478-nucleotide ribosomal RNA is filed under the name uncultured bacterium. RNAcentral describes it as "partial 16S ribosomal RNA". It matches the Rfam family "Bacterial small subunit ribosomal RNA", at positions 28 to 523 of the family's 1533-position model. The record is from RNAcentral.